RNAcentral lists this ribosomal RNA (1003 nucleotides) under uncultured bacterium. RNAcentral describes it as "bacterial SSU rRNA". It matches the Rfam family "Bacterial small subunit ribosomal RNA", at positions 356 to 1376 of the family's 1533-position model. The record is from RNAcentral.
GGGGGAUAUUGCACAAUGGGGGAAACCCUGAUGCAGCAACGCCGCGUGAAGGAAGAAGGUCUUCGGAUUGUAAACUUCUGUCCUCAGGGAAGAUAAUGACGGUACCUGAGGAGGAAGCUCCGGCUAACUACGUGCCAGCAGCCGCGGUAAUACGUAGGGAGCGAGCGUUGUCCGGAUUUACUGGGUGUAAAGGGUGCGUAGGCGGAUCUGCAAGUCAGUAGUGAAAUCCCAGGGCUUAACCCUGGAACUGCUAUUGAAACUGUGGGUCUUGAGUGAGGUAGAGGCAGGCGGAAUUCCCGGUGUAGCGGUGAAAUGCGUAGAGAUCGGGAGGAACACCAGUGGCGAAGGCGGCCUGCUGGGCCUUAACUGACGAUGAGGCACGAAAGCAUGGGUAGCAAACAGGAUUAGAUACCCUGGUAGUCCAUGCCGUAAACGAUGAUUACUAGGUGUGGGGGACUGACCCCUUCCGUGCCGCAGCAAACGCAAUAAGUAAUCCACCUGGGGAGUACGACCGCAAGGUUGAAACUCAAAGGAAUUGACGGGGGCCCGCACAAGCAGUGGAGUAUGUGGAUUAAUUCGAAGCAACGCGAAGAACCUUACCAGGUCUUGACAUCGUAUGCAUAGCUCAGAGAUGAGUGAAAUCUCUUCGGAGACAUAUAGACAGGUGGUGCAUGGCUGUCGUCAGCUCGUGUCGUGAGAUGUUGGGUUAAGUCCCGCAACGAGCGCAACCCUUAUCCUCAGUAGCCAGCAGGUAAAGCUGGGCACUCUGUGGAGACUGCCAGGGAUAACCUGGAGGAAGGUGGGGAUGACGUCAAAUCAUCAUGCCCCUUAUGAUCUGGGCUACACACGUGCUACAAUGGCGUAAACAAAGGGAAGCAAAGCCGCGAGGUGGAGCAAAUCCCAAAAAUAACGUCCCAGUUCGGAUUGUAGUCUGCAACUCGACUACAUGAAGCUGGAAUCGCUAGUAAUCGCAGAUCAGAAUGCUGCGGUGAAUACGUUCCCG